Oryza sativa Japonica Group (Japanese rice) is the source of this 636-nucleotide non-coding RNA. The record is from RefSeq and is a predicted model, not a curated record. NCBI's taxonomy places the organism in Eukaryota, Viridiplantae, Streptophyta, Magnoliopsida, Poales, Poaceae.
GCGCCUGUCCCUAGAAAAAUACACAACACUACACAUCCAUCCCAGAUUCCAGUCCGAUCCAGUCAAAGCGAGCGAGCUAGCUACUCCAGCUGCUGGCCGGCCGUCGAAAGAGACCGGAUCACUUUGCCGGAUGAGCAGCGGUGGGAUCGAUCGUGGAUUGUGCGCGCCUCCGUCCGUCCUGCCGACCGGCGCGGCGGCCGCGAGCUUAGAUUUUGGCUGUGCUCCUGCUGGUAGUGUUGAGCUAACAAUUAGGUGGAGAAAUGUUCUACAUGAUUGAUCAAGAUCAAAGCAAAGAAUCGUUCCAUAUUUCUACAUCAACUGAGAGUUGAAGGUGACGAAGGUAUAGAGUAGCAAGUUUGAUAGCUAAAACAAAUGAGGCCAGGAAUGAAGAGCAUAGGCUCCAGCCACAGAGGGAAAAGAAAGGUUGAGGAGUGCUUUGCGCAGAUUGGGGGGACUCUCUUUUUCUAAAUGAUUUAGUUGAUGACCAAAUGUUUUUUUUCUCAGAUUACUAUAUUUGUUUUUUAAUUUUUAAGGCGUGACAUAUCACAGGUUAUGAUUUUUCAAUAAGUAGAUUUAAUGGCUGAAAAAAAAUUUAAGUGAAAACCGAUGAUAAGAUGUUUUGUGCUUUCCUUUUAA